This 30-nucleotide non-coding RNA is filed under the name Mus musculus (house mouse). Lineage: Eukaryota; Metazoa; Chordata; Mammalia; Rodentia; Muridae. The record is from RNAcentral.
UUUCAGUUUGAUUUGCCAUAUGAAGGUGGG